GAUUUCUGGUUUGACGCGUUUGGCCCUCCCGGGUUUCCACUCGGUGUGCGUGCCGAUGCGCGUCUGCCAUCCUUGUAGAGAACGUUUCUACCCUUCACUGGGCCGGAUUCGCGAUCUACAUCUUUUACUUUGAAAAAAUUAGAGUGUUUAAAGCAGGCUUUUGCUAUGAAUACAUUAGCAUGGAAUAAUAAUCUAGGACUUCGGUUCUAUUUUGUUGGUUUCUAUAACUGAAGUAAUGAUUGAUAGGGAUAGUUGGGGGUGCUAGUAUUGGCCGGCCAGAGGUGAAAUUCUUGGAUUCGGUCAAGACUAACUUAUGCGAAAGCAUU
This 326-nucleotide ribosomal RNA is filed under the name uncultured Thaumatomonas. RNAcentral's name for it is "SSU rRNA". The stretch from base 108 to 326 matches the Rfam family "Eukaryotic small subunit ribosomal RNA", at positions 735 to 955 of the family's 1831-position model. Lineage: Eukaryota; Cercozoa; Imbricatea; Thaumatomonadida; Thaumatomastigidae. The record is from RNAcentral.